Molecule: ribosomal RNA, 229 nt
Filed under: uncultured Staphylococcus sp.
Lineage: Bacteria; Bacillati; Bacillota; Bacilli; Caryophanales; Staphylococcaceae
Description: partial 16S ribosomal RNA
Rfam family: Bacterial small subunit ribosomal RNA
Source: RNAcentral
UAACACGUGGAUAACCUACCUAUAAGACUGGGAUAACUUCGGGAAACCGGAGCUAAUACCGGAUAAUAUUUUGAACCGCAUGGUUCAAAAGUGAAAGACGGUCUUGCUGUCACUUAUAGAUGGAUCCGCGCUGCAUUAGCUAGUUGGUAAGGUAACGGCUUACCAAGGCAACGAUGCAUAGCCGACCUGAGAUGGUGAUCGGCCACACUGGAACUGAGACACUGUCCAG